RNAcentral lists this long non-coding RNA (1144 nucleotides) under Marmota monax (woodchuck). The record is from RNAcentral. Lineage: Eukaryota; Metazoa; Chordata; Mammalia; Rodentia; Sciuridae.
UCUUGUUUUUCUUACAUUACAGGUCAUUUAUUUCCCAGACAAUGGAAAAUUAGGGCAUCUAAUUCUUCAGAUAUAACUCUUUCCUCCAGCUUCCUUGUCCCUGGCCCAAGUCAUGCAUCGUGGUUGGAAGCUGACCAUCUCUUAAGACAAGACUCCUGCAGCACAGAGACCUCUUCCAGGUGAAGCAGAACUGCAGUGAUCCUUAUCAAAGCUGUUCAGAGGCAGAGUGGCAUGGGAGUUGCUCAGCCAUGGAGGAGUCCGAAUUUCAUUCCUAUCUUUUAACACCAGCUUUUCUGUAAAAUGAGAGGCCUGGCAAGUCCUCUCUAGGGGUCUCUCCUCAGUCUCUGGCAACUACUUCACGCAGGGUACAAUCAUUUCAAGGCACACACAGAAACAAAUGCUAACAGCUCUAAAAAGGUCACUGAAGAAGAGGUGGCUGAAAGUAUGUUGGAUUAAUUCAAGCUGAUUGUGGGGGAAGGGGGGUCUCUUGCUUCUCCCCGCUUUUUGCUUACUUACUGAUGUUCAGAGAGGCAAGGAACGGUGGAACCACCAGAAUCUGAAUCCUUUAACAUCCAUCAGUUAGUCUAAUUGGGUAAAUAUACGUAGGACCUAAAAACUCCUGAGGUGGUGGAGGUAUAGUUCAGUGGUACAAAGCUUAUCUAGCAUGCACAAGACCUCAGGUUCAUCCCUGGUACAGUGAACCAAAAACCCUUUGAGACUAAUUUCACACUUAUCUCCUCAACAUUUCCUCACUGACCCAACCAGAACCAGAUACCAGCUUCAGAAAUUUGUUACCUGUAUCCAAGUCAUUUGUUACAGGAAUAGAAGGCACUUCUUGUCAAAAACUUUUGAGCGAUACUGAAAUAGGAUCUGGUCUUUGUCCAUUUUGAGUGACUCAGUAAAGAAACUACCUGGGUAUGCUAUUCUCACAGGGGGAGAGGGGAUAAAUGCUGAAUAAAACUAAGAAUCUUGUUGCUUGAUCAAAUGAUAUGGAAAUUUUGUUAUUCUGGGCCAUCAGUUGUUUCUUGUACAGUACUACUUGCUCACUCUGCUGUCUGCACUGGUUCAGCUAGGCUGAGAAUGAAUAUCCUAGUGUGAAUCCAGUUAAACAGCUGGUGAUAAAAACUACUAUAACAGAGUUUAC